This 197-nucleotide ribosomal RNA is filed under the name uncultured bacterium. RNAcentral describes it as "partial 16S ribosomal RNA". It matches the Rfam family "Bacterial small subunit ribosomal RNA", at positions 328 to 539 of the family's 1533-position model. The record is from RNAcentral.
ACGCUCGACACCUACUGGAGGCAGCAGUGGGGAAUAUUGCACAAUGGGGGAAACCCUGAUGCAGCAACGCCGCGUGAAGGAAGACGGUUUUCGGAUUGUAAACUUCUGUUCUUAGUGAAGAUAGUGACGGUAGCUAAGGAGCAAGCCACGGCUAACUACGUGUCAGCAGCCGCGGUAAUCUGAGCGGCUGGCAAGGC